AAUGGUCUCAAUCGUGGCGCCGCUGAUCGCCAUGUCACGCGCGGCAAGUUCAAGCAUGCGGUUGACCGCGGUGGCAUCCCAGGUCGGGCUUUCGCAUUCGAUCCACGGGCGCAGGCCCGUCAGCAUGGUCUCGGUAUCGAACGGCAAUGAGGCGGGAUCGAUCAAGGCGUGUCCUCUCGUUUUGCUUGUUUUACGGCAGGAACUGACGCCCCGCUCGCCCCGAUGGUUGCAGACUCA
RNAcentral lists this unclassified non-coding RNA (237 nucleotides) under Hevea brasiliensis (rubber tree). Lineage: Eukaryota; Viridiplantae; Streptophyta; Magnoliopsida; Malpighiales; Euphorbiaceae. The record is from RNAcentral.